AUACGGAGGGUGCAAGCGCUACUCGGAAUCACUGGGCGUAAAGCGCGCGCAGGCGGAUUGGCAAGUUGGAUGUGAAAGCCUGCGGCUCAACCGCAGAACUGCAUCCAAAACUGUCAGUCUAGAGUCUGGGAGAGGUAGCUGGAAUUAGUGGUGUAGGGGUAAAAUCCGUAGAGAUCACUAAGAAUACCGAAAGCGAAGGCGAGCUACUGGAACAGUACUGACGCUGAGGCGCGAAAGCGUGGGGAGCAAACAGGAUUAGAAACCCGAGUAGUCC
This 274-nucleotide ribosomal RNA is filed under the name uncultured bacterium. Its description in RNAcentral is "partial 16S ribosomal RNA". It matches the Rfam family "Bacterial small subunit ribosomal RNA", at positions 523 to 796 of the family's 1533-position model. The record is from RNAcentral.